CCUGCUGUGGCGCAACUGGUAGACGCGGUGGCCUAUCAAGCUACUAACCCGUGACACGGUUUUUGCGAGUUCGAAUCUCGUCGGCAGGA
Molecule: transfer RNA, 89 nt
Filed under: Candidatus Curtissbacteria bacterium
Lineage: Bacteria; Candidatus Curtissiibacteriota
Description: tRNA-Asp
Rfam family: tRNA
About the family: Transfer RNA (tRNA) molecules are approximately 80 nucleotides in length. Their secondary structure includes four short double-helical elements and three loops (D, anti-codon, and T loops).
Source: RNAcentral